GGACAGAACUCUGGAAAGUUUUUUAAUAAACACCGAAGGGGUAAUUUUCCAUCGGUCAGCGGUGGAAAAAAUCUCUCAGGUAAAAAGACAGAGUAGAAAAU
RNAcentral lists this non-coding RNA (101 nucleotides) under Atribacterota. RNAcentral describes it as "Candidatus Atribacteria Glycine sequence". It matches the Rfam family "Glycine riboswitch aptamer". From Rfam's summary of the family: This family represents the bacterial glycine riboswitch. The record is from RNAcentral. Lineage: Bacteria; Pseudomonadati.